RNAcentral lists this ribosomal RNA (253 nucleotides) under uncultured bacterium. RNAcentral's name for it is "partial 16S ribosomal RNA". It matches the Rfam family "Bacterial small subunit ribosomal RNA", at positions 524 to 776 of the family's 1533-position model. The record is from RNAcentral.
UACGUAGGUGACUAGCGUUGUCCGGAUUUACUGGGCGUAAAGAGCGCGCAGGCAGUCGUUCAAGUCGAGUGUGAAAGCCCCCGGCUCAACUGGGGAGGGUCACUUGAUACUGAUCGACUCGAAGGCAGGAGAGGGAAGCGGAAUUCCCGGUGUAGUGGUGAAAUGCGUAGAUAUCGGGAGGAACACCAGUGGCGAAGGCGGCUUCCUGGCCUGUUCUUGACGCUGAGGCGCGAAAGCUAGGGGAGCAAACGGG